This 451-nucleotide ribosomal RNA is filed under the name uncultured organism. RNAcentral describes it as "partial 16S ribosomal RNA". It matches the Rfam family "Bacterial small subunit ribosomal RNA", at positions 329 to 797 of the family's 1533-position model. The record is from RNAcentral.
ACGUACACUCCUACGGGAGGCAGCAGUGGGGAAUAUUGGACAAUGGGCGCAAGCCUGAUCCAGCCAUGCCGCGUGAGUGAUGAAGGCCCUAGGGUUGUAAAGCUCUUUCACCGGUGAAGAUAAUGACGGUAACCGGAGAAGAAGCCCCGGCUAACUUCGUGCCAGCAGCCGCGGUAAUACGAAGGGGGCUAGCGUUGUUCGGAUUUACUGGGCGUAAAGCGCACGUAGGCGGACUAUUAAGUCAGGGGUGAAAUCCCGGGGCUCAACCCCGGAACUGCCUUUGAUACUGGUAGUCUUGAGUUCGGGAGAGGUGAGUGGAAUUCCGAGUGUAGAGGUGAAAUUCGUAGAUAUUCGGAGGAACACCAGUGGCGAAGGCGGCUCACUGGCUCGAUACUGACGCUGAGGUGCGAAAGCGUGGGGAGCAAACAGGAUUAGAUACCCCGGGAGUCCC